RNAcentral lists this transfer RNA (90 nucleotides) under Puniceicoccales bacterium. RNAcentral's name for it is "tRNA-Ser". It matches the Rfam family "tRNA". From Rfam's summary of the family: Transfer RNA (tRNA) molecules are approximately 80 nucleotides in length. The record is from RNAcentral. Lineage: Bacteria; Pseudomonadati; Verrucomicrobiota; Opitutia; Puniceicoccales.
GGAGAGAUGGCAGAGCGGUUUAUUGCGUCGGUCUUGAAAACCGAAGUGCUGGAGACGGUACCGUGGGUUCGAAUCCCUCUCUCUCCGCCA